UAACGCAUUCUACUUUUCUGAGAAUAUAUUUUUUGAAAAAACUAAAUCGCCAGAGAUGCAUCUCUAUCACCGAAAGAAUUCCACGACCGUUUCGAAAGUGGGUUAAAUACCGACUAUUGAAAAGGUGGGUAUUUGACUCAUCUGGUAUGAAGGUUGUGGGUUUCAGCGAUGAUGUUUGCUCUGUUUUUAAGCAGAUUGGUGGUGGUUUGAAUCCUCUACCGUCGUAAGUUUCAUGGCAGCCUACCUACUGGGGUGAUGGUGUCGCGGAGUCAAAUGGUCAAGUUUGUCAACUUGACCAGUUUUGCUAGCCUUCCUUUCGCAAGUCGAUUUUGAAGCUGGUUUGAAGAAAGAUAUUGAGGAUUUCAAACAACUUGUUCUGAAGAUAAAACUGUCUAGAAACUCAACUGUUCCGGUUGUUUUGACUUUGUUUUGCUGUCUAUGUGAUGACGCCCAACUAACCACGGGAGUUGAGCUUGUGUACCUACUCAUUUUAUGUUUUUAUGAACAUAAUUUUUUUGAAAAUGAUGUACAUUCAUGCAUUCUUCAUAUUUUUAAUAUUUACUGUUUGAUAUUUAUUUUCUUUUUAUUUUCAACGACUUAGCUUUCUUCGUUUACAGUAAUGCCUUUUUUCAUGAUGAUAACGUCUGUUGCUAUCUUUUCAUGAGCGUUUGGGACUUUAUUAAGGGCGAUCUGCACAAAGGUCUGUCCAUUCUUCAUUUCAAUAAGGGUGUUGUUAAUAUGAGAGGGUGGCGGAGUACUUUGCGAGACCUGCGAUUUUCUGCAUUGAAACGUGCUAGCCGACGCCAGGGUCAGUUAUACCACAAAGCUUUUGGUAUUGUUAAAUUUCAUAAAAACUUUAUGAUGCACGUAGACAGUUAUUUGACAAUACCAGCAUUCCGUCGGCUGACAUAUGCUACCAAGUUACUAAGGGAAGCAUUUUCUAAUUUUCCGGCGAAGUUUUUUUAUCUGGUUGCCACUCUUAUUUGACGACGUCAGGUCGAGUUUGGACCUGAUGGUUUGGUGUCACACAUCCGAAGGACAGUAACCUCAUGUUCUACUUUUUCAUGAGAUGCCAAUUUUUCAGGACAGUAAU
Molecule: non-coding RNA, 1093 nt
Organism: Camellia sinensis
Lineage: Eukaryota; Viridiplantae; Streptophyta; Magnoliopsida; Ericales; Theaceae
Source: RefSeq, a predicted model, not a curated record